This 403-nucleotide ribosomal RNA is filed under the name uncultured bacterium. Its description in RNAcentral is "partial 16S ribosomal RNA". It matches the Rfam family "Bacterial small subunit ribosomal RNA", at positions 30 to 526 of the family's 1533-position model. The record is from RNAcentral.
AUUGAACGCUGGCGGCAGGCCUAACACAUGCAAGUCGCGCGAGCGGCGGACGGGUGAGUAAUGUAUGGGGACUGCCCGAUAGAGGGGGAUAACUACUGGAAACGGUAGCUAAUACCGCAUACUAUCGGAUAACCCAUAUGGGAUUAGCUAGUAGGUGAGGUAAUGGCUCACCUAGGCGACGAUCCCUAGCUGGUCUGAGAGUAUGAUCAGCCAAACGUGGAUGUAGACACGGCACAGACUCAUACGGAGGCAGCAGUGGGGAAUAGUGCACAAUGGGCGCAAGCCUGAUGCAGCCAUGCCGCGUGUAUGAAGAAGGCCCUAGGGUUGUAAAGUACUUUCAGUCGGGAGGCGUUACCGACAGAAGAAGCACCGGCUAACUCCGUGCCAGCAGCCGCGGUAAUAC